Molecule: ribosomal RNA, 253 nt
Filed under: uncultured bacterium
Lineage: Bacteria
Description: partial 16S ribosomal RNA
Rfam family: Bacterial small subunit ribosomal RNA
Source: RNAcentral
UACGGGGGGGGCAAGCGUUGUUCGGAAUUACUGGGCGUAAAGGGCUCGUAGGCGGCCAACUAAGUCAGACGUGAAAUCCCUCGGCUUAACCGGGGAACUGCGUCUGAUACUGGAUGGCUUGAGUUCGGGAGAGGGAUGCGGAAUUCCAGGUGUAGCCGUGAAAUGCGUAGAUAUCUGGAGGAACACCGGUGGCGAAGGCGGCAUCCUGGACCGACACUGACGCUGAGGAGCGAAAGCCAGGGGAGCAAACGGG